CGGGGGGAGCAAGCGUUGUUCGGAUUUACUGGGCGUAAAGGGCGCGUAGGCGGCCUCUGCAAGUCGACUGUGAAAUCUCCGGGCUUAACCCGGAAAGGUCAGCCGAUACUGCAGGGCUAGAGUGCAGAAGGGGCAACUGGAAUUCUCGGUGUAGCGGUGAAAUGCGUAGAUAUCGAGAGGAACACCUGCGGCGAAGGCGGGUUGCUGGGCUGACACUGACGCUGAAGCGCGAAAGCUAGGGGGAGCGAACGGGAUUAGAUACCCCGGCAGUCCUAGCCUUAAACGAUGAAUGCUAGGUGUCUGGGGUUUUAUAGUCCCCGGGUGCCGUCGCUAACGCUUUAAGCAUUCCGCCUGGGGAGUACGGUCGCAAGACUG
RNAcentral lists this ribosomal RNA (375 nucleotides) under uncultured organism. Its description in RNAcentral is "bacterial SSU rRNA". It matches the Rfam family "Bacterial small subunit ribosomal RNA", at positions 526 to 896 of the family's 1533-position model. The record is from RNAcentral.